UACGUAGGGGGCGAGCGUUGUCCGGAAUUAUUGGGCGUAAAGGGCGCGUAGGCGGUUUGACAAGUCUUAUGUGAAAUCUUCGGGCUCAACUCGAAGUCUGCAUAGGAAACUGUCGGGCUUGAGUAUGGGAGAGGUGAGUGGAAUUUCCGGUGUAGCGGUGAAAUGCGUAGAUAUCGGAAGGAACACCUGUGGCGAAAGCGGCUCACUGGACCAUAACUGACGCUGAGGCGCGAAAGCUAGGGGAGCAAACAGG
Molecule: ribosomal RNA, 253 nt
Filed under: uncultured bacterium
Lineage: Bacteria
Description: partial 16S ribosomal RNA
Rfam family: Bacterial small subunit ribosomal RNA
Source: RNAcentral